UCUAGCUCUGUUUUAUCUUUAAUAUUGUUCAAUUUUUUUGUUUUUUUUUGUUUUUAUGUCAAAUUGAAAUCGACACUCAAACUGAGGUUCGGAGGUAGUUUUGCUACAUAUUGAGCCUCCUCUUUUUGUUUAUAAAUAUUUGCGAAGAAUUCCUUUUUGAUUGUUUUGAAACUUUUUCAUUUUCUGAAUAUGUUAAAUUGAUGGCAAUUUUUCUCUCUCGUGGGUGGUUCAUUAAACAGUCAAUUUUCAAAUUGGAUAAGAUUCCUUUUUGAAUACUCUAUUUCUUUUAAAUAUUAGGUUUUAUGAUUUGGAAAAAGGUAUUUUCUUGUUGGUAAAGAUUAGGGUUCGAGAUUAGUGUACUGGCUGAUACUCUGUUCGUUGUGUACAGGGUACUAGCAAAUAGCCAUCGAUAGGACAUUCGGGAAUCUGGGAUGACAACGGUUUCAUUUCAAAUUUUUGUCAUUAAUCUUUACCUCUGCUUUUGUUGUUACUGAAUUGAUUAUUUGACAUUUUGAAUAGUGGAUUAGGGUCUUGAGAAUGAAGUGAAUUCUUGAAGAAACAAGCUACUGCUAUUAUCUACGUCCUGUUUAUUUUGGUUCAAGAGUACGUCUGAGGCUUGCUAAGGAGAUGGAUGUUGCUAAACAUUGGUAGUUAGUUCUUUGGAAUUUGGUUGGCAGUAAGUGUGU
Molecule: long non-coding RNA, 686 nt
Filed under: Olea europaea subsp. europaea
Lineage: Eukaryota; Viridiplantae; Streptophyta; Magnoliopsida; Lamiales; Oleaceae
Source: RNAcentral